CCUACGGGGGGCUGCAGUAAGGAAUAUUGGUCAAUGGACGCAAGUCUGAACCAGCCAUGCCGCGUGAAGGAUGACGGCCCUCUGGGUUGUAAACUUCUUUUAUCUGGGACGAAAAAAGGGCUUUCUAGCUCGACUGACGGUACCAGAGGAAUAAGCACCGGCUAACUCCGUGCCAGCAGCCGCGGUAAUACGGAGGGUGCAAGCGUUAUCCGGAUUUACUGGGUUUAAAGGGUGCGUAGGUGGGUCUGUAAGUCAGUGGUGAAAUCUCCGAGCUUAACUCGGAAACUGCCAUUGAUACUAUAGAUCUUGAAUUAUCUGGAGGUAAGCGGAAUAUGUCAUGUAGCGGUGAAAUGCUUAGAUAUGACAUAGAACACCAAUUGCGAAGGCAGCUUACUACGGAUCGAUUGACACUGAGGCACGAAAGCGUGGGGAUCAAACAGGAUUAGAUACCCCAGUAGUC
Molecule: ribosomal RNA, 460 nt
Filed under: Weissella confusa
Lineage: Bacteria; Bacillati; Bacillota; Bacilli; Lactobacillales; Lactobacillaceae
Description: bacterial SSU rRNA
Rfam family: Bacterial small subunit ribosomal RNA
Source: RNAcentral